Molecule: non-coding RNA, 114 nt
Organism: Acanthosepion pharaonis
Lineage: Eukaryota; Metazoa; Mollusca; Cephalopoda; Sepiida; Sepiidae
Source: the annotation of a GenBank genome assembly
UUACGGCGAUAUCACGCUGAGGCACCGGUUUCCGUACGAUCACCAAAGUUAAGCACCGUCGAGCCCGGCCAGUACCUAGAUAGGUGACCACUUUGGAAUAGAAGGUGCCGUAAG